UUCGGCAUAUCAAAGAACCCCAAUUAUUCAAUUUGGAUGAAAUCAAACAAAGUUUAAUUUUGGACCCUUUGGGCCCCUUAUUCUGUUGGGACCAAAACUCCCAAAAUCAAUACCAACCUUCCUUUUAUGGUCAUAAACCUUGUGUUUAAAUUUCAUAGAUUUCUAUUUACUUAUACUAACGUUAUGGUGCGAAAACCAAGAAUAAUGCUUAUUUGGGUCCCUUUUUGGCCCCUAAUUCCUAAACUGUUGGGACCUAAACUCCCAAAAUCAAUACCAACCUUCCUUUUGUAGUCAUUAACAUUGUGUUUAAAUUUCAUUGAGUUCUAUUUACUUAAACUAAAGUUAUUGUGCGAAAACCAAGAAUAAUGCUUAUUUGGGCCCUUUUUUGGCCCCUAAUUCCUAAACUGUUGAAACCAAAACUCCCAAAAUCAAUCCCAACCGUUCUUUUGUGGUCAUAAACCUUGUGUCAAAAUUUCAUAGAUUUUUAUUAACUUAAACUAAAGUUAUAGUGCGAAAACCAAGAAAAUGCUUAUUUGGGCCCUUUUUGGCCCCUAAUUCCUAAAGUGUUGGGACCAAAACUCCCAAAAUCAAUACCAACCUUCCUUUUGUGGUCAUAAACCUUGUGUUAAAAUUUCAUAGAUUUCCAUUCACUUUUACUAAAGUUAGAGUGCGAAAACUAAAAGUAUUCGGACGACGACGACGACGACGACGACGACGACGACGCCAAUGUGAUAGCAAUAUACGACGAAAAAUUUUUCAAAUUUUGUGGUCGUAUAAAAAUCUAAACUUUUUUUUCA
RNAcentral lists this long non-coding RNA (797 nucleotides) under Mytilus galloprovincialis (Mediterranean mussel). The record is from RNAcentral. Lineage: Eukaryota; Metazoa; Mollusca; Bivalvia; Mytilida; Mytilidae.